Molecule: long non-coding RNA, 258 nt
Filed under: Eutrema salsugineum
Lineage: Eukaryota; Viridiplantae; Streptophyta; Magnoliopsida; Brassicales; Brassicaceae
Description: long non-coding RNA (ESAL_LNC000385)
Source: RNAcentral
GACUGGAAUGAACCGAAUCCAUUCAGGAUGAUGCGGGAGGGUGAUAAAUGUUGAUGGGAAGUAGUGGGGAGUGGUGGAUGAGGUGGAACGAGUCAUAGUGACGUUGAAUGGGUGAGAAUGGGUCGGAGGUCGUUUGAACAACCAUUGGCCGCAGUCCGGACACACGCGACCGGGGGUGGAACAUGCAGGGCCGCUAUCACAAGUAUGCGAUCGCGGUCGAUGUAGGGUUAGCCGCGAUCCUAACUCAUGCGGUCGCUG